GACGAACGCUGGCGGCGUGCCUAAUACAUGCAAGUCGAACGCACAGUUUAUACCGUAGCUUGCUACACCAUAGACUGUGAGUUGCGAACGGGUGAGUAACGCGUAGGUAACCUGCCUGGUAGCGGGGGAUAACUAUUGGAAACGAUAGCUAAUACCGCAUAAUAUUAAUUAUUGCAUGAUAAUUAAUUGAAAGGUGCAAUUGCACCACUACCAGAUGGACCUGCGUUGUAUUAGCUAGUAGGUGAGGUAACGGCUCACCUAGGCGACGAUACAUAGCCGACCUGAGAGGGUGAUCGGCCACACUGGGACUGAGACACGGCCCAGACUCCUACGGGAGGCAGCAGUAGGGAAUCUUCGGCAAUGGACGAAAGUCUGACCGAGCAACGCCGCGUGAGUGAAGAAGGGUUUCGGAUCGUAAAGAUCUGUUGUAAGAGAAGAACGGGUGUGAGAGUGGAAAGUUCACACUGUGACGGUAUCUUACCAGAAAGGGACGGCUAACUACGUG
RNAcentral lists this ribosomal RNA (505 nucleotides) under uncultured bacterium. RNAcentral's name for it is "partial 16S ribosomal RNA". It matches the Rfam family "Bacterial small subunit ribosomal RNA", at positions 28 to 507 of the family's 1533-position model. The record is from RNAcentral.